CGGUAGCUCAGUAGGUAGAGCAGAGGACUGAAAAUCCUCGUGUCGCCGGUUCAAUUCCGGCCUGGA
This 66-nucleotide transfer RNA is filed under the name bovine gut metagenome. It matches the Rfam family "tRNA", at positions 5 to 66 of the family's 71-position model. Rfam says of the family: Transfer RNA (tRNA) molecules are approximately 80 nucleotides in length. Their secondary structure includes four short double-helical elements and three loops (D, anti-codon, and T loops). The record is from RNAcentral.